AUGGCGUACUGUGAAAUGGAUGAGCAGGGCAAGGCAUACAGGUUUGGCCUCUUUAUAGCAACGGCUAAGAUGACAAAGGGGCCAACAUGUUUGACAGUAGACUUUGAGUUCGCUGCAAGGACAAGAUCGUCAGGAAAAUUCAUGACCAGGUGGGAGCACAAGUAUACCUUCGGCGGUGAUUGGAUGCCCGGAUGCAGUGAUCUUUUUGAGGUUCCAUGGUCGACAUGCAUUGCCAACGACAACCUCUUCAUCGAUGGCGUGCUGCAUCUGAGAGCUGACUUGAGGGCGUUGGUGGCGCCGCCAGGACAACAGGCUUGA
This 318-nucleotide ribosomal RNA is filed under the name Triticum aestivum (bread wheat). RNAcentral describes it as "partial small subunit ribosomal RNA". Lineage: Eukaryota; Viridiplantae; Streptophyta; Magnoliopsida; Poales; Poaceae. The record is from RNAcentral.